Molecule: ribosomal RNA, 253 nt
Filed under: uncultured bacterium
Lineage: Bacteria
Description: partial 16S ribosomal RNA
Rfam family: Bacterial small subunit ribosomal RNA
Source: RNAcentral
UACGGAGGAUCCAAGCGUUAUCCGGAUUUAUUGGGUUUAAAGGGUGCGUAGGCGGCCUAUUAAGUCAGGGGUGAAAGACGGUGGCUCAACCAUCGCAGUGUCCUUGAUACUGAUGGGCUUGAUUACACUUGAGGUAGGCGGAAUGUGACAAGUAGCGGUGAAAUGCAUAGAUAUGUCACAGAACACCAAUUGCGAAGGCAGCUUACUAAGGUGUUAAUGACGCUGAGGCACGAAAGCGUGGGGAUCAAACAGG